GACGUUUCAUAAAAAAAAAAGUCCUUGAGAAACGACAGAAAUCACUAGCAGCUAUGGCUGAAGCAAAAAAAAAAAAAGCAAAAAAAAAAAUCCUCAGCAAAUUGGUACUCGGAUAGUUGAUGUGGAUGAACUGAUGGAUAAUUUAAUUUGUUGUUUUUGUAAAAAAGAUAUAUUAUUAAAAAAUAUUGUGAAAAAAACAAAGUUCGGAUUAAGUUCAGUUUUUUGUAUUAAAUGUGAAAAUUGCUCUACAUUAACUAACGUGAAGACCAGUAAAAAACACAUCACCCAAAGAUGAUACAAAACACAGUGAUCUCAAUACAAAAAUUGUGUUAGGUGCAGUACACGCUGGAGUUGGAUAUACUUGUCUAAG
Molecule: long non-coding RNA, 370 nt
Organism: Cotesia glomerata
Lineage: Eukaryota; Metazoa; Arthropoda; Insecta; Hymenoptera; Braconidae
Exons: 2
Source: RefSeq, a predicted model, not a curated record